Molecule: small nucleolar RNA, 103 nt
Rfam family: A. fumigatus snoRNA Afu_514
Source: Rfam
UCUUAUGAUGAGAGUAAUUUGCGAUUGAUUCCGUGACAUGGCUCGCUCGCCUGCGAUGCUAUAUGUCAUGGGUAUUUGAUAGUUUUUCUUACAUAUUCUGAAC